GAUGCCAUUUUACUUGUGAGGCAGGUGAAGGGUUUUUGUUUUGUUUUGUUUUUCCCCUUAGGCAGAAUAAAUAACUUGUCUAAACUCCCAGAGCGAAUAACAACAGAAAGAACCAAUAUUUGACAGAAGGUCUGCCGGAUGCGGGGUUCUGAAUUUCAUCCUCAGUGAACCAGACUGGGCACACAGAACCUGCCCGACCGACCUAGGCUCGGAUGAUUGUCCGCCGAUUUCAGGUUUCGCGGGCAGUCCUCUGGCUUCAACUCCCUUUGAUGUCAAGAGGAGGGAUCUGAAUUGGAGCAUUCGAAGCGUCAUAAUUAACGACUGCAGUCGGGGGAGGACCUCAGCGAUCAUUUUACAGGGGAAGAGAACGAAGCCCAGUGAGGUUAAGGGAGUAGUCCGAGGUCACAGAGCUCCAUCCCGGGACAGCUAGCACCGCUGCGAACUCUCCUAGCGCCUGGAUGGCAGGUGCAGCAGGAGCGGCUUCCCAGCAGCCCUCCCGCCGCAUUGUUGGCUCCACUCUCCCGGCUGCCCCCUCCUUCGGGAGCUGGAGCACCCCUUCCUGCCCCCAAGCCCCCAGCACAUAAACCUCCUUCAGUGUGUCUUUCAGUGGAACACACGACUUACCACUGUGGGCUUUUCCAGAACGAAGGUGUGAAAAUCAAAGGGGAUUCCAGGAGCAGCACGCAGGACUUCAGACAGUAUAAGAGGUGCUGCGGGGAGAAAACCAGAGAAAGGUGACAGAGGAGACUAGAAAGAUCCUGAGAAAAUCCAGAAGGCAGAAGAACUGGGGCUGUCCUCAGGCGAGAGAGCACUUCAGACAUCAGCACCUGGAAGGUUAGGAUGAAAACCAGUGAGAACCUUCUGCAGUCAUUCCAGGGCUCUCCUUUCUUCUGCCGUUGCCUCAUCUGUGAGUGGUCACCGUGAGAAAUACCUAAUUGUGGCCUUUGGCCAGGGGACAAGCUGUAGUCUGUGAGGUGACCUGUAAGGGGCCCAUCUCAGGUCAAAUGCUGCAUAGAAUUGAGAUUUCUCCUUACCCUCCGUUACUCUGGAAGAGUUCCUCAGCCUCUCCUUGUUCUUCAUGACCUGGACAUUAUGAAGAGUACUAGCUGUCCUUCAGUUGGGGGUUAUCCAGUGUUUCCUUGUGAUGAGAAUCAGUCCAUUUUUAUGGCAGGCCUGCAAAAGUGAGGUUGUGCUCAAGUGCAAUGGCUUUAAUCACAAUGAUUUUAUAUGGUAUUAAUUCUGUCAGAUCUGCUGUUUCUUGGGUUAAGGAGUGUAACGCUAAGUGACACCAAAUUAGCAGGAAGCAACCCCUGAAGAGAGGACACACACUCAAAAGGGAGGUCCGUGUUGACAGUACACUCACUGCCUGCGCAUUCGCUGUGCAAAGCCGCCUCCUCUCAGUGAGCUCCGAUCCCACUGACCUCUUUAUUUCCGCCUCGACGACACCACUGAGCAGCAUUAAUUUUUCUGCAGAAAGGAUGAAAAAAAAUCUACGUGGACCAUGACUCCCCAUUUUGGUUUGCCCCUAAAUGCAAAUUCAAAACCUCUCGUUGUCAAACAUAAUCAUUACCCUUCCGAAACAUCAUAGCCUUCAAAGAAUUUGAAGAGUUGGAAGAAUUAAAUCAGCUGCCUAGUUUCUACCCCUGAAAUUUUAAAAAAUGAUGAGGUCAGCAUGUCA
Molecule: long non-coding RNA, 1678 nt
Organism: Suricata suricatta (meerkat)
Lineage: Eukaryota; Metazoa; Chordata; Mammalia; Carnivora; Herpestidae
Exons: 2
Source: RefSeq, a predicted model, not a curated record